AAUGAACGCUGGCGGCGCGCCUAAUACAUGCAAGUCGAGCGAGAAGACGUGGCAAUACGUUUGUAAAGCGGCGAACGGGUGAGGAAUACAUGGGUAACCUACCCUCGAGUGGGGAAUAACUAGCCGAAAGGUUAGCUAAUACCGCGUACGCUUCUUGGACUUCGGUUCAGGGAGGAAAGCGAUGCCGAGGGUAUCGCGCUCUUGGAUGGGCUCAUGUCCUAUCAGCUUGUUGGGCGGUAACGGCUCACCAAGGCUUCGACGGGUAGCUGGUCUGAGAGGACGAUCAGCCACACUGGCACUGCGACACGGGGCCAGACUCCUACGGGAGGCAGCAGUAAGGAAUAUUGCGCAAUGGGCGAAAGCCUGACGCAGCGACGCCGCGUGGGGGAUGAAGGUCUUCGGAUUGUAAACCCCUUUCGGGAGGGAAGAU
RNAcentral lists this ribosomal RNA (430 nucleotides) under uncultured bacterium. Its description in RNAcentral is "bacterial SSU rRNA". It matches the Rfam family "Bacterial small subunit ribosomal RNA", at positions 29 to 449 of the family's 1533-position model. The record is from RNAcentral.